This 460-nucleotide ribosomal RNA is filed under the name uncultured bacterium. Its description in RNAcentral is "bacterial SSU rRNA". It matches the Rfam family "Bacterial small subunit ribosomal RNA", at positions 9 to 451 of the family's 1533-position model. The record is from RNAcentral.
GAGUUUGAACCUGGCUCAGGAUGAACGCUGGCGGCGUGCUUAACACAUGCAAGUCGAACGAAGCGAUUGGAAGGAAGUUUUCGGAUGGAAUUCUGAUUGACUGAGUGGCGGACGGGUGAGUAACGCGUGGGUAACCUGCCUCAUACAGGGGGAUAACAGUUAGAAAUGACUGCUAAUACCGCAUAAGCGCACAGGAUUGCAUGAUCCAGUGUGAAAAACUCCGGUGGUAUGAGAUGGACCCGCGUCUGAUUAGCUAGUUGGUGGGGUAACGGCCCACCAAGGCGACGAUCAGUAGCCGACCUGAGAGGGUGACCGGCCACAUUGGGACUGAGACACGGCCCAAACUCCUACGGGAGGCAGCAGUGGGGAAUAUUGCACAAUGGGGGAAACCCUGAUGCAGCAACGCCGCGUGAGUGAAGAAGUAUUUCGGUAUGUAAAGCUCUAUCAGCAGGGAAGAAAA